CCUACGGGGGGCAGCAGUGAGGAAUAUUGGUCAAUGGGCGGAAGCCUGAACCAGCCAAGUCGCGUGAGGGAAUAAGGCCCUACGGGUCGUAAACCUCUUUUGCCGGGGAGCAAGGGCGGGGACGUGUCCCGGCCCGGAGAGAACCCGGAGAAAAAGCAUCGGUUAAUCCCGUGCCAGCAGCCGCGGUAGUACGGAGGAUGCGAGCGUUAUCGGGAUUCAUUGGGUUUAAAGGGGGCGUAGGCGGGCUUUUAAGUCAGCGGUAAAAAUUGGGGGCUCAACCCCGUCCGGCCGUUGAAACUGGGGGCCUUGAGGUGGCGAGAAGAAGGCGGAAUGCGUGGUGUAGCGGUGAAAUGCUUAGAUAUUGCGCAGAACUCCGAUUGCGAAGGCAGCAUACCGGCGGCGAUCUGACGCUGAGGCACGAAAGCGUGGGUAUCGAACAGGAUUAGAUACCCGAGUAGUC
Molecule: ribosomal RNA, 460 nt
Filed under: uncultured bacterium
Lineage: Bacteria
Description: partial 16S ribosomal RNA
Rfam family: Bacterial small subunit ribosomal RNA
Source: RNAcentral